ACCAGGUGAUGUCGGUGACGAUUUAGAUCUGAUGGGAGUGCUGAAAGGAGAAGGAGGAGGAGAACCACUUUCAGGAGCCUCUGCAUACCUAGUCCGCACAUCUAGAAGAGCUUCUUCCAUGCGAACCAAGCCAGCACUACCUGUAAGGUGGGAGAUCCGAUCCCGUAAUAGCUUUUGGUCCUCAAGCACCUGUAACAAAUGUCACCCUCAGUGUUGUAAGUAACAUAAAAAACGUCCGAAAAGUUAGAAUCAAAACGUACAAAUUAAACCGCGAAGUCGGUGUAAAAUGGAGGUAGAUGUCACAUGCUCCGCAGACUAAAAACAUUUGUGAUAAGAGGAUGUGUGUCUAAGAAGCACGCGUUAACAUAUACAUAGUCAGGUCAAAAUGGCACAUCUUUAUAUGUUAACUAUUACCAUCCCUGUUAUCAUACAAAACAAUCAGGAAAAGCAUAGCUCAACCAGAGAAUAUUAGAAGACCUAAGUGCAUACCUGGGUGCGGAUUGCCUGUGCAUCGUGACUUAGAUCGGAGGCACUCCCUCCUUGUGGAAUUUUACACUUAUGAAGCAUAGAAACUUCUAGCUG
This 582-nucleotide long non-coding RNA is filed under the name Physcomitrium patens. RNAcentral's name for it is "long non-coding RNA (PPAT_LNC011037)". The record is from RNAcentral. Lineage: Eukaryota; Viridiplantae; Streptophyta; Bryopsida; Funariales; Funariaceae.